This 253-nucleotide ribosomal RNA is filed under the name uncultured bacterium. RNAcentral describes it as "partial 16S ribosomal RNA". It matches the Rfam family "Bacterial small subunit ribosomal RNA", at positions 524 to 776 of the family's 1533-position model. The record is from RNAcentral.
GACAGAGGGUGCAAACGUUGUUCGGAUUUACUGGGCGUAAAGCGCGUGUAGGCGGCUUUGCAAGUCGGAUGUGAAAGCCCACGGCUCAACCGUGGAAGUGCAUCCGAAACUGCAUGGCUGGAGUCUCGGAGAGGAAGGUGGAAUGCUUGGUGUAGAGGUGAAAUUCGUAGAUAUCAAGCAGAACACCUGCGGCGAAGGCGGCUCACUGGACGACUGUUGACGCUGAGGUGCGAAAGCGUGGGGAGCAAACAGG